CCCUUAGAUGUUCUGGGCUGCACGCGCGCUACACUGAUGCGCUCAACGAGUUUAUAACCUUGUCCGGCAGGAUUGGGUAAUCUUUUUAAAACGCAUCGUGAUGGGGAUAGAUUAUUGCAAUUAUUAAUCUUCAACGAGGAAUUCCUAGUAAGCGCGGGUCAUCAUCCCGCGCUGAAUACGUCCCUGCCCUUUGUACACACCGCCCGUCGCUCCUACCGAUUGAGUGGUCCGGUGAGGCUUUGGGAUCUGAGCGGAAAGAGCGUUUCGCUGUUUCUGCUCGGAAAACUCAGUCGAACCUUAUCAUUUAGAGGAAGGAGAAGUCGUAACA
RNAcentral lists this ribosomal RNA (328 nucleotides) under uncultured eukaryote. RNAcentral describes it as "partial 18S ribosomal RNA". It matches the Rfam family "Eukaryotic small subunit ribosomal RNA", at positions 1470 to 1796 of the family's 1831-position model. The record is from RNAcentral.